This 1215-nucleotide ribosomal RNA is filed under the name Triticum aestivum (bread wheat). RNAcentral's name for it is "partial small subunit ribosomal RNA". Lineage: Eukaryota; Viridiplantae; Streptophyta; Magnoliopsida; Poales; Poaceae. The record is from RNAcentral.
AUGAGUAGCCGCCGCCGCCCACGCUCGCCGCCGCCGGUGCCGCCGCUGGAGGACGACAACCUGCUCUCUGAGAUCCUCCUCCGACCCCCCCCAGAUCCGUCCUCCCUCCCUCGCGCCUCCCUCGUCGCCAAGCGCUGGCUCGGCCUCGUCUCCGACCCCAGCUUCUCCCGCCGCUUCCGCCUCCACCACCGCCGCAACCCUCCCCUCCUCGGUUUCUUCGAGGGCUCGCACUUCGAACCUACAAUGGAUCCGCCCAAUCGUGUCCCGGAAGGUCACUUCUCCUACGAGCACACCGACGACGACGGCUACGGCUGCUUCAGACCCUUGGGAUGGCGCCAUGGCCUCCAACUCAUCUUCCACGAAUCGGAGUCGGAGAAGCUGGUCCUGGUGCGGGACCCCUUCAACGGCGACAAACACCGCCUACCCGUUCCCCCGGGGUUGGAUGGGGAGGAGACCCCGACCAGCGGGGCGGUGUUUCGCGCUGCCGGAGACAUCCAACACUUCCACGUUGUCUUGGUAGACACAGAGACAAACCAACAUCAUACACGGGCAAUUGCCCGCGUCUACUCAUCGGAGACUGGCAUAUGGGGAAAUCUCAUGGCCACACCGCUUCCACCAAUGCCUUCGAGUUCUAUGGACGAACAUCCCACCAUGAUUGGAAUAUGGUUUACCAUCGGUGUGCUAGUUGGGCAUUCCAUUUAUUGGUUGCUCACCGAUACAUCGGCAGAAACUAGCAUGUUAGAUGGUAUCCUUGAGUUUGAUUUGGAGACGCAGAUUUUAGCUGUGAUACCUGUGCCCACGGAUAUUGCCAAUAAUUGUAUUAGCCGAUUCCAGGUUAUGCGGGCAGAAGGUGGUGGCCUUGGUAUUCUCUUUCUAUCAAAUUUCAGUGCCCAAUUAUGGAAGAUGGAGACUGAUUCCAAUGGUGUUGCUUCGUGGGUGCUGGGAAGAACUAUUGAACUAGAUAAGCUACUUCCCAUGAAUCCAAAGAAGAAGAAGAGAGGGCCACCCCUAAUGAUACGAGGGUUUGCUGAGUACAAUAAUGUGCUGUUCAUACGGACACCUGCUGGCUUCUUCACUCUUCAGCUUGAGUCACUGGAGUUCAAGGAACUUUUCAAAUCCGACAUCUAUUAUCCAUUUGAAAGUGUCUAUGCUGCAGGUAAUGGCCCGAGCAUUGGUGGUGGACAUGAUGGAGCUGAACUUUUGCAUAAUACGUAA